UCUUGUGGCCAUACCAGCCUGUCAUUGCCCGAUCCCGUUAGAUCUCGGAAGCUAAGCAGGUCUGGGCCUGGUUAGUAGUUGGAUGGGAGAAUCCAGGUGCCACAGUGG
RNAcentral lists this ribosomal RNA (108 nucleotides) under Gouania willdenowi (blunt-snouted clingfish). Lineage: Eukaryota; Metazoa; Chordata; Actinopteri; Blenniiformes; Gobiesocidae. The record is from RNAcentral.